CUUUAGCUAGAUGAGAAUGCGUUAGGGAUUGCAGUGACAUCCUUUUUGUAGUGCCAGCAGUACUACAAAAAGAUACAACGGAAAGCCCGCCCGAUU
This 96-nucleotide small RNA is filed under the name Ulvibacter litoralis. RNAcentral's name for it is "Flavo-1 RNA". It matches the Rfam family "Flavo-1 RNA". Lineage: Bacteria; Pseudomonadati; Bacteroidota; Flavobacteriia; Flavobacteriales; Flavobacteriaceae. The record is from Rfam by way of RNAcentral.